UACUGCUACGCCUAAAGGUGUAUCAAAAAAGGCUUAAUUUUCAUUGCGUUUAAAUCCUCAAAACGCCAUAACCUUGGUUCACUACAAACAAGUGCCAAAGGAAACAAAUUUCAAACAUUUAACUACGAUAUACCAUUAUCUGAAUUACCAUAACCCUCAUUAAAAGCUUGAAGGAAUUUAACAUUACAAAUAAAUUUUACAAACUUCGAGAACUCGAAAAGAGAAGCUUACUAAACUGGGCACGGCGAUGAAUUUAUGCUUCACAAAUAGAGGAAAGCGCUUCACAAAUGGACAGAGAUUGAUACAGUCGUCUUCAAAAAUGUUAAUUUAUGCUUCAUAAAAAGAGGAAAGUACUGUUGAUAGUUGUCAAAUCAUCAAAAAAUUGGCGGAGAUACACAAGCGUGGCUUUGGGUUCGGGUUUAUCGCCGGAGUGCCAUCUUUUCCGGGAAAUUAUCACCGAAUUUACGGAUUCUAACAUAUAAGGAAAAGCUGUGUGAGAAGCAUUUUAGUGUGCCAGUGAAAUUUGUCAGCCGAAGCUUUGUCGGCUCUCAUGAAUCUUCGGUAGCUUCUUAGAGCAACCAUAGCCUUCUUGUCUUAUAGCGCAAUAUCCUUAGGGUUUGCCCACGGCCUAGGUUUUGCUUCCCCUCUCACAUGUCCCUCACUUGGGCAUUAUAGUGUUCCCUCCAUUUUCUUUUGCCACAUCAGAAAUUUCGAGUCCCCUUUUCCUGUGUGUCAUUGAGCCUGUGCAAGAAGCAUUAACAAUACGUCAUUUCAUGGUUAUAUAGAGGAAUAAUGCUUGGUUAUAAAGAGGAAUAAUGCUUGUUGGACAAGGUCAAUGACAACCCUUUUUGACAGGGUUUUAAAUUGGUCCACGUGUCACUGAGAAUUAAAAUGAAGGAAACUAGCAUGUAAAUGCAAGGGAGAAAUAUUAAAAUAACUUUAAAUAAACGAUUGCAAAGAAAACGUCGACCUUUCCCAAAUUGUGUAAGACAAAUCCUGGUAGUAGGUGAGUUUCGGUUCAAAUCCCAUCCCGAAAAUGCCACAUCCCCGACAAGCGAGUUUCGAUUCUUUCCAAAUCAAAAUCCAUCUACGCGAAUCCAUUCAUUAUGGUCCAUUCGAUAGGUCUCCGUUUGUAGCUAUUAUAAAUGAGUUUCUUCGUCCCCUAUCGCCCCCUUUGGUUCUUUUAUAUACAGAAGUAGGUGGUGAGUUUAAUUUUACCUUGUAAUCGUUCAUUAUGAAAUUUUGACUCUUGUCCAAAGUAAUUCUCCAUUAUCUGGGAUUUCAAUUUUAUGGUGCUCUAAACAAUAGUAAUUGUUAAGGUUCUUUUCCUUUGUCUGUAACUGACGGUGGACCAAACUUUGUGUUUAUUAACUGAUCACAGCUUUAUAAACAUUUGACACUCGAAGAUACUGAACUUCCUACCGUUCCUGGACAUCUUGAGGGGAAAUUUAAAUCUACAUUGAAGACCUUGGAAUAGUACCAGCCCAAAAAUUGUGAGCAUGUAUUUAACACGGGUUGGGAGUUUAGCUUCCAACUGGAAAAAGGUACAUAAACCCAUCAGUUCAUUACAAGUAAAAAUCGACGUUACAAACAAGAGUGCAACUUCCAACACAUUAUAGAUUCACAUAUGUUUACAACCAUAGUUCACAUACAUUCGCACAUAAUAAUACCACAUAUACAAAAGUUUAUGUAGUAACUAGUCCUUCGAUUAAUAUGUACUAAUUAGGCCGACUCCUUCCCUUUAGCAUUCCUUUCCGUGCUCCCUUUUGCCUUGCAAAUUCAUUGUAACAAUUCAAGCAACCAAACCAAUAGUCAAGAAUACAUAAACAAGACUAAUACUUGAGAAGCUAAUGGAAAUGCGUGAAUUCGAUAUUGAUGAACUUAUAGAGAUGUGUAUACAAUAAAACAUUUUCCAAAUCUAGUCAGUGUCUCAUUAAUCCCACUAUCUUAAACUCAUUUUUUGUACACCAUACAAGGUUAAUAAUAUCCAAUACCGUCCAAUAGGCUGUUCUUGGACUACUUUUGUCAAUUACAUUGUUCUUGGAUUUGAAGAUUAUGAAAGCAAACUUUACAAUGUAUGAAAAUGGCGUCAGAAUUUCAAUAAAUAGUUGCUGCAUAAUUUUACAUUAUUCUCUCUAAAUUUUGCGGACUGAAGAAUGCAGAAAAACCAUCAUACUUAUUAGACUAAUUAUCAAAUGGACUAGAAUAUACUGCAUUGUAAUCCUUACGUUUGAACUCUUAAAACUAUAGUAAUUACCGUGUUCAUUGUACACAACAUAGAAUAAUAAUAUAAUAUAUCCUGGAAUUCUUCACAUAGAUAUUCAUAGUUCUAUUUAUGAAUUAAAAAAAAAAAUUAAAGUCGAAACAUAAAUUUGGUGUUUUUUUUUUUUUUUAAUGUAUUACAACUUCGAUUAACGUUUCUUGUUGCACAAACAAACCUUGGACAGAGAUGGUGAACUAUGNNN
RNAcentral lists this long non-coding RNA (2465 nucleotides) under Olea europaea (common olive). RNAcentral describes it as "long non-coding RNA (OEUR_LNC008260)". Lineage: Eukaryota; Viridiplantae; Streptophyta; Magnoliopsida; Lamiales; Oleaceae. The record is from RNAcentral.